UACGGAGGAUGCGAGCGUUAUCCGGAUUUAUUGGGUUUAAAGGGUGCGUAGGCGGACGCUUAAGUCAGCGGUAAAAUUGCGGGGCUCAACCUCGUCGAGCCGUUGAAACUGGGUGUCUUGAGUGGGCGAGAAGUACGCGGAAUGCGUGGUGUAGCGGUGAAAUGCAUAGAUAUCACGCAGAACUCCGAUUGCGGAGGCAGCGUACCGGCGCCCAACUGACGCUGAAGCACGAAGGCGUGGGUAUCGAACAGG
RNAcentral lists this ribosomal RNA (252 nucleotides) under uncultured bacterium. RNAcentral's name for it is "partial 16S ribosomal RNA". It matches the Rfam family "Bacterial small subunit ribosomal RNA", at positions 524 to 776 of the family's 1533-position model. The record is from RNAcentral.